This 1882-nucleotide long non-coding RNA is filed under the name Malus domestica (apple). RNAcentral's name for it is "long non-coding RNA (MDOM_LNC015631)". Lineage: Eukaryota; Viridiplantae; Streptophyta; Magnoliopsida; Rosales; Rosaceae. The record is from RNAcentral.
UCCAAGGUCACUCAUUUCUUCUCCAAUCUAACCUUGGUGAAGAUACUUAGAGGUUCUCAAUUUUGGGAACUUAGAGAAACCUUUUCAUCCAUCCAAAUCCAUAGAUUUUAGAUGCAAGGAAUGAAGGCCCUCUCUUUGGGUGAUUAGCCUUUGCUUAUGCAAAGAGGAAUCUACAAAGGUAUAUUUUUCAACUCACUUAGAUUUGAGUUGAGUCUUGGUUCACCAAUCUACUAGGCUUUGAAUUUCAUGGGUAAUGUUUUGUUUUUGAGUGCAUGCAAGCAUGAUUCCGCCUUUAAUUGUUAAUUGCAUGCUAUAUGAUGUUGCUCAAAUGAACAUGUUUUCACAAAUCUUCCUUCAAGUGGUAUCAGAGCCUAGGUCUAGUAGUUGGUGAAUCCUUUUGGGUUUUGUAGUUCAUAGUUUUGAUUUAAAAGUUGUAAUAUGUUACAAGCUUUAUUCUUGUUUCUUUGAAUGUAAAUUUUGUUAGAAAAUUUGCCAUCUCAAAUGUUGUAGAUGUAGUUCAUAUGAGCAUGAAUAUUGGAGCUAAAAUUUGGUGCCAUGAUUUUGGGAAAAUUCGGCCAAAUACAUAGGGUGAUUUUUUGGGUUCUUGUUUGACUUGUUAAAAGUGUUUUAAAGUAACUUUUGGAACCCCUAUGUACCCUAGUUUGGUUAUAUGUUAUUUCCCUAAAGUUUAAAUGGUUUUGGGAUGUUUUUGGAUGAAAAAUGUUCAUGGAAAUUUUUGAGUUUUUCAUGAAUGUUCUUCAUUGUUCUUGACAUUUUUGCCAAGAACAAAAAGUUAUGUGUUUUGAUUCAAAGUUUUGAUUUAUUUCAUAAAGUUUAUGUUUUAUGUUUUUCAAAUAUUUAAAUGUGUUAGAUAUUUGUUUAAAUGGUGAUAGAAAUAAUGGUGGGUGUGAAAGGAUUAAUUCCCUUUCACACACACCACUUGUGCACUUGCAUGCUUUAUGUCAAAACUCACAAAUCAACACACACAUCACUCACAUCUCCUCUCCAAAACUGGCCACCCCCUAGUGGGGGUACUUUUGGGGCCUUUUAUGCAAUUACAUAAAGUUUUGAUACUUUUGUGUAUUUGCACUUUGGCCCAAAAGUUUACGUUUUUACGUUUAGGUCCAAAAACGCUAAAGGACAAAUUGUUUUGCUCCUUUAAUGAAGUUUUACAUUGUUUAAAUUUUGGGUUCUAGUGUAAUUACAUGAAGUAGUGGACUUUUGUGUUCUUACAAAGUGACCCCAAAAGUUUAUGUUUUCGCAAUAUUGCCCAAAAAGUUGUGGUUAUUGUAUGAUGGCCCAAAUUAGGUUGAGAACAAAAUUGUUUUGUCUCUUUAAAUGAGAAUUGGAUUUUCAUUUCAUUUAGCUCCACUUAAAUCAAUUUUAUGGAUACAAAAACCAAAUGAAAAUGUUGCAUUCAAUUUAAUUAGUUAAAGUGUUAAUUAAUUAAAGGAUGAUUAUGAACCUAAGCCUAAUAUAAUUGAGCUAUGUGAAAGGUCGUUUCAAAUUUGUUUGAACCAUGGGAAUGUGUAGAUUAGAUUUUGGUUGUAAUUUGAUUUGAUCAAAUGUUGUAAAAGGGCUUAAGCUCUUCUUUACUUUAAAGUAAUUUGUUUUAUGCCAAUGUUGUAAUGAGCAUAAGCUCACCUUUACUUUGAAGUACUUCUUUCUUGCUUUAUUUGAUAUGCAUGAAAAUGAAGUUGUUGGGUCCAAUGCCCUUAAGACAAAACGCCUUAAUGUGAUUAAACGCGUAACUAAAAUCAAUCACCAUCCCUAGACCGAGAUUCAACACAAGGCUCGUGUUGGAUCUAAUUAAAAGGUUCAUAGUCAUCCUAAGGCCCUAAGGCAACUAUAUAGUCCAUCAAAUGAAUGCAAAGGUUAUGUU